ACCCUUUGCAGCCCUGCCACUAGGGUAGCAGCUCAUUUCUAUUUUGUGGUCUGGUCUCUUUCUAGUCUGGAUGUAUGCUUGUUACUCAAACAAUGCCAAAACUAUUAGUGUGCUAUCUAUACUGCCUAAGCUGGAACUGAAGCAUUGCUUGAGCAGGAUGGGAUGGGGCGCUGUCAAUAUCAGUUCUCCUGUGAUUCUGCAGUUCAGAUCAAUUCAGGAUACCCUUCAACGUGGUUUAGUUUAUCCAUCUAAUUGUGGAAGAGGUUAAACAAAAUGAGAACCCCUGGAAGUCUACGUCAUGGCCCUGAGGGAAAGAAUAAUCAAAACAAUAUCUUCAUUAGGCUGCAGUACUCAGCAAGGAAAGAAUGGAGCCAUGCCACAAACACCAAGACUAAUUUUGUGAGAUCUUUAUAAAGAGAGAAAAAUCUCCUGAGUGAUGUCUGAAAAGCAGCUGAAAGAUCUAACUGUGCUGACAUGGAUGCAUCCAAUGCUUCACUAUUGCUACUGGUAUUAUAUGGCUUUUUUGUAUAAUUACUUUCAAAAGCAGUAGAACAUGUUUUUACAUAUCAGAAAAUAUUUGAGGUACCUCUGGGCUAUCAUUGUUAGUAUACUUUUGGAAGAAAAGUUACAUCCUUUUUAUCAAAGAGGGCCUUUAAUUCUGUGAUUUCAAAAUCAUCUUGAUUUAUCAUAUUUUCUUUACUUACUUUUCUCUUUAUGUUCAUCUAACUUAGGCUGGAAGAUGAGAACAAUAUAGAUGACAAUAUACUGAUUAUUUAAGAGAGCUUAGAGAGUUCUGCAAAGAGCAGUGUAAAAGCUGAAUAUAAAAUCAGACAGAGACUAGAAGCCUGUUAGCAGAGUAUGCAAAGAUUAUAUGUGCUUGUUAUCAUACUGGUGGAAGAACAAAUCAAGGACAUCUUGUAGACUAUGAAAUAGCUGCAGUGGCUGUGCGCCAAUCAUGUCAUAAACAUGAACCUAUAGAACCUGAACUGUCAUUUAUUUUAUGUCAAUUCAGAUUCUUAUUUAUUUUCCAGACACAAAUACAAUGGAAACAAUAAAAGGAAGACUCAACU
Molecule: long non-coding RNA, 1070 nt
Organism: Gallus gallus (chicken)
Lineage: Eukaryota; Metazoa; Chordata; Aves; Galliformes; Phasianidae
Source: Ensembl